AGACCUGAUCCAGCUCCUCCUACCUGGGUGGAGUCAAACCAAAAAUCCAGGGAGUGGAGACAGACCUGGUCCAGCUUCUCCCACCUGGGUGGAGUCAAACCAAAAAUCCAGGGAGUGGAGACAGACCUGAUCCAACUUCUCCCACCUGGGUGCAGUCAAACCAAAAGUCCAGGGGGUGGAGACAGUCCUGAUCCAGCUCCUCCUACCUGGGUGGAGUCAAACCAAACGUCCAGGGGGUGGAGACAGACCUGAUCCAGCUCCUCCUACAUAGGUGGAGUCAAACCAAAAGUCCAAGGGGUGUAGACAGACCUGAUCCAGCUUCUCCCACCUGGGUGGAGUCAAACCAAACGUCCAGGGGUGCAGACAACUCAGUAUUGUAUGUGUUGUGAGUUAGAGUUAGGAAUUAGUGGUUAGGGCUAUCAGAGGCGUUAUAGCAGGUCCAGCUCCAACCCAUGGACUUUUGCUUCUGCAGUGAGGACUUUCUUGUUGGUGCAUUCGGAUGGACCAGUAUUCCCAGGAUAGACUCCGGAUCCACACUGACCCUUGACCAGGAUAAAGUGGCUACUGAAGCAGGCUCAACCUAACAGAGCUUUGAAGUGCGACUACAAAGAGCAGGAAUGAAGAAACAGCCCAGAGUCAGGAAAGAACACAGAGAGAAGAUGUCUCCUGGGGAGGAGGACUGGGCAAGAAAGACGGAAACAGAAAGACAGAGAGUCUUCAAUAUAUCCAUGUGGAAGGAAGCGUAUGCUGUUCUAAGGAAAACAGGGAUUGGAGGAUGUCCCUGAGGAUCACACACACACAUACGCGCACAUACACACACCCUCAACCACGCUGACGCAACUCAGCUCCACUUCAGAGCAAUAUCUGGCUGACCUUACAGGAGCCUCUUACACCUCCUCUACUGUCACCAAGUACACACACCCUUUAGAAAGAAUAUGUGUGUGAGCGUGCAUACGAGUCUACGAAAAAGAGAACAUAAUAAAGAUAAACACAGGUGGGCUUGCUUCCACAGCCGUGAAUACAAAUCAGAGGCUACAGUGUGAUACAGCAGCAAGGAUCCCUUGAGGACUCGUUCAAUCUGAUUGCAUCAGGCUCUCCAACCCUGCCUCCUGCGCCUGCUCCGACUGCUUUCACACCUAUUAGUCAGAGUCCAUGUCAGAGCGAAAUUGACACUUUUGUUUCGUUUUCUAUUCGGAUUGGUUUGUUUUCAUGUUGCACAUCAUUAAGCAAACCAAAAUGAAAAAAAAAAGUAGUUUGAGGGACUGAAAACAUCCUCAUAAAGCUGUCAUUCACUGGCCAGAACUACAGCGACGGAAACUGGUAAACAAACUUUUGCCAAGUGUGUGUAGCCCCUGUAGGGCUGAAUGGUUCUGACCAAAAAGAGAAACUGUUCCAGUAAUAUUUCCACAUGAGCAUAGCGUAAGCCUGGAGUGUUUUCAGCAUGUUGUUUUUGGCAUUGUUAGCUAACUGUACUCCAAACGUCAUGUAGGUAUUCACCAUUUCUCUUUCCAAAAUGGAGAGAAAUACUACAACACCCCAUUUUAGCUACCAUCAGUCAGGCACACCAUAACAAUAAUAUGAAUAAACCGCCAUUAGAUAAACCCUAAAUAAUCAUGAUCUGCUGUAUGUCCUUGAUCUGCUGAGGUGUCAAGUUAACCACCGGACGAUUAAACCCACAGGUUUCUUUGGAAAAGUUAUAGCAGGAAAACUCACCAACAUACACCACAACAACAGCGAGGAAAACUUCAUGUAAACCUCGACCCUGAAACAUAUCAAAUAUAUCUAUACUGAAAUAUUUAUGAUGUGCUUAGCCAUUCUGAAUGCCAUUUCCUGCUUGGUGUCGUAGCUUCAUUAUUCCUGCGAGAAGUUAGCGGUUGUGUGCUGCUCUGACAUCAUAGGAAGACAAUUCCUAAAAACUCAAACUUGCUGUUAGCCCCAAAAAACUAUUUCUUUCUUUACUCACUCACCAUUUUCAGCAUUGUUAUCUUCCCAUAUUAAAGAGCAAUUUAAUGUAGAAGUGUGUAGCGGUUGAGGCAAACGUUUCAAAACGCAAUGCAGUUAUAUGACACAGCUACGACUCGGCUUGGCUAGGUAGCUAGUUAUCUAUGAGACAAUGAACAUGAUGGUGUUGGUGGUACUAGCAUGAAAGAUGAAGCUUUGGAAGCUAAUCUGUUUGAGCAGAUUGAGGAGGUGAGAGAGUUGGACAGACUAAAGGACUAAAGCACCGCUGCAUCGCUCUCUUUAAUUAGAAAUGAAGCGAGGGUUAAAUCCCACUGGCACCACUAUGAGCAAUAGUCGAUUGGCAUUGUGGGUAAUAUAGGAAACCGUCAACCAAAGUGAAAAUAGACCAACAUGUCUUUGAAAGAAGUUUCAACUGAAAAAAAAACAAAAAACGAAUCAGAGCAUGAGGUUGAGUUGUGGGGAAGAACAUGCUCUGAGAAACCAAAGUAUCUGACCUGUGCACAACAUCUAGGAUAUGAUGUCCAAAAUGUUUUAUCCAAACUGUUUUAUCUAUCUGAAGCUUUACACACCUUAGGAUGUUGCCUCAAGCAUGCAAGUUUAAUUGAGUUUCAGAAAGUACCUCACACUCACACACACACACACACACUCACACACUACACUACACAUGACAGUAGUUGUAUCCGCCUGCCUCUGGAGCCACAGUGUUUGACACUUCAUCUUUAGUCAAAUCUGCACGACUCCAAUGACUUAAGCCUCUUGCUUCGUAUUAUCACUCCACUCCACUCCACAGUGGCCCUAGUCAGAUCACACACACACCGAUAUCCACCUAUCUCUCUGGCCAGCUCUCCGUCUCACACACACUCCCAGAACUCACAGGGAAUGAUGGCAGGAAGAAGAAGGAAGCGAGGAAAAAAAGGAGUAUAUUUGGAGUGAAGUGUCAUUUUUAUCUGCUGGAGGCGAAGGGGGCCGGAGUGUGUCAGCAGCGAGGCAGGCAGAUGGCACACGGCUGUGGGUUAGAGAUUGGCUGGCGUGUGAUUUAUCUCACAGAGACAGAGAAUCUCCAGCAUCUCGAUGUGGAUGUGUGUGAGUGUGUAUGUGUAACAGAAAGUGUGUGGGCUGCGCGUAAUGGCACGGAGAGUGUGUGAUAAAGCAGCAGCCUGAAAUGGAGGUCAGAAAGUGUUCUAGUCGAAGACUGUCGAAUGAAGCAAUGCAUGUGUCCAUAUGAAGGCGGAAAUGCAUUUAACGUUGGGUCAGAGCAGCACACACACAGCACACUGGCGCAGGACUAAAGGGCAUCUGACUCACUGCGUGACUGACUGAUGAGACACAGUGAGAGUUACACAGCUUUAUAAAGCAACAGCAUGUAAAUAUAAACAUGACAUACCAUUAAUUACUUUAUAAUAAAACACAAAGGACCAUAUCUAGUAAUGCUUUCCACCACUGCACAACAUAUUUCAAAAUAAAUGAAAACAAACAAGUCUGGUAGUAUGUGUCUUUAGAUGAAAGAUGAGUUUUGUGCAUUCGCCUAAAUGAAUAGCAGACUUGGUAUUAAUGUCCUGGGAGAUAUUCUGGGUUUUUAAUGGCUACUAUAGAAAGUGCCACGUAUAAUAAAUACAAGUACAAUUAACAUCACUUGAAGUUUGACUUUGAUAUUGAAACUCAAAUAUUUAAAACUUUUUUUUUUUACAUCAGUGUUUGGUUGUGUUACGAUUUGGCUUGUUACGGUGUCCCGGUAUCAUGGUUAGCCAUGGUGUCUUAUUGCAUGGUUAUUACACCUAAUAUACCAAUUAGAAUGCAUUCCUGUUUACAACAAUCUUCUCAUAUUUUUUUUCUUUAAACAACAAGUAACAUGUGAUUUUCCUAUCUCAAGCACAGUGUUCCCAGGAAAAGGCUCCGGAUCCACCUCGACCCUGACCAGGAUAAGUGCAUAAUGAAAAUGAAUGUAUAAAAAAAACUCCUUAAAAAAGCUAACAACUAGUGUCAUGAAUCCCCUUCAGUGCACAACACAUUUCCCUUCAGUGCUUCAUGUGCCUUUUGUUUUGCUUUCCU
Long non-coding RNA from Ictalurus furcatus (blue catfish), 4011 nucleotides. RefSeq lists it as uncharacterized. The record is from RefSeq and is a predicted model, not a curated record. NCBI's taxonomy places the organism in Eukaryota, Metazoa, Chordata, Actinopteri, Siluriformes, Ictaluridae. The transcript is spliced from 4 exons.